This 385-nucleotide unclassified non-coding RNA is filed under the name uncultured fungus. RNAcentral's name for it is "partial internal transcribed spacer 1". The record is from RNAcentral. Lineage: Eukaryota; Fungi.
CCCUAUACUGCCCGCGUUGCGUUCUAAAACCCUUAAUAUUGCAGGAGAAUUAUUAUGGUACUGGUUACUCGUCAGGCCCCGGAUUUCACCGCUGCGGCGGUACUGGGUAGCGGUGAGAUUGUUGAUAAAUUCAACUUCAAACAGCACACCAAUGGUAAAACGACCGUUCUGUUCUUCUGGCCGAUGGACUUCACUUUUGUUUGCCCGUCUGAGCUGAUCGCCUUUGAUAAACGUUAUGAAGAAUUCCAGAAGCGCGGCGUUGAAGUGGUUGGCGUUUCUUUCGACUCUGAGUUCGUCCACAACGCAUGGCGUAACACCCCUGUCGAUAAAGGCGGCAUUGGCCCGGUGAAAUACGCAAUGGUCGCCGACGUGAAGCGUGAAAUUC